This 71-nucleotide transfer RNA is filed under the name Loxodonta africana (African savanna elephant). It matches the Rfam family "tRNA". From Rfam's summary of the family: Transfer RNA (tRNA) molecules are approximately 80 nucleotides in length. Their secondary structure includes four short double-helical elements and three loops (D, anti-codon, and T loops). Further hydrogen bonds mediate the characteristic L-shaped molecular structure. tRNAs have two regions of fundamental functional importance: the anti-codon, which is responsible for specific mRNA codon recognition, and the 3' end, to which the tRNAs corresponding amino acid is attached (by aminoacyl-tRNA synthetases). tRNAs cope with the degeneracy of the genetic code in two manners: having more than one tRNA (with a specific anti-codon) for a particular amino acid; and 'wobble' base-pairing, i.e. permitting non-standard base-pairing at the 3rd anti-codon position. The record is from Rfam by way of RNAcentral. Lineage: Eukaryota; Metazoa; Chordata; Mammalia; Proboscidea; Elephantidae.
GCAUUAGUGAUUCAGUGGUAGAAUUCUCACCUUCCACGCAGGAGACCUGGGUUAGAUUCCCAGCCAAUGUA